Molecule: transfer RNA, 73 nt
Filed under: Crassvirales sp.
Lineage: Duplodnaviria; Heunggongvirae; Uroviricota; Caudoviricetes; Crassvirales
Description: tRNA-Lys
Rfam family: tRNA
About the family: Transfer RNA (tRNA) molecules are approximately 80 nucleotides in length. Their secondary structure includes four short double-helical elements and three loops (D, anti-codon, and T loops).
Source: RNAcentral
UCCCUCAUAGCUUAAUUGGGAAAGCACUGAACUUUUAAUUCAGGUGAUUUAGGUUCAAAUCCUAAUGGGGGAA